RNAcentral lists this ribosomal RNA (514 nucleotides) under uncultured Nocardioides sp. RNAcentral describes it as "bacterial SSU rRNA". It matches the Rfam family "Bacterial small subunit ribosomal RNA", at positions 1 to 526 of the family's 1533-position model. The record is from RNAcentral. Lineage: Bacteria; Bacillati; Actinomycetota; Actinomycetes; Propionibacteriales; Nocardioidaceae.
UAGAGUUUGAUCAUGGCUCAGGACGAACGCUGGCGGCGUGCUUAACACAUGCAAGUCGAGCGGAAAGGCUCCUUCGGGGGUACUCGAGCGGCGAACGGGUGAGUAACACGUGAGUAAUCUGCCCUCCACUUCGGGAUAACUGCCUGAAAGGGUGGCUAAUACCGGGUAUUCUCCUUGCACCGCAUGGUGUGGGGUGGGAAGUUUUUUCGGUGGGGGAUGUGCUCGCGGCCUAUCAGCUUGUUGGUGGGGUAAUGGCCUACCAAGGCUUUGACGGGUAGCCGGCCUGAGAGGGUGACCGGCCACACUGGGACUGAGACACGGCCCAGACUCCUACGGGAGGCAGCAGUGGGGAAUAUUGGACAAUGGGCGGAAGCCUGAUCCAGCAACGCCGCGUGAGGGAUGACGGCCUUCGGGUUGUAAACCUCUUUCAGCACAGACGAAGCGCCUGKGAAGGUGGUGACGGUAUGUGCAGAAGAAGCACCGGCCAACUACGUGCCAGCAGCCGCGGUAAUAC